Long non-coding RNA from Saccostrea cuccullata (small rock oyster), 533 nucleotides. RefSeq lists it as uncharacterized. The record is from RefSeq and is a predicted model, not a curated record. NCBI's taxonomy places the organism in Eukaryota, Metazoa, Mollusca, Bivalvia, Ostreida, Ostreidae. The transcript is spliced from 6 exons.
UUGCAGCAGAAGUCUUGGGUGUUGGAAAAAGGCAUAUGUACUAAGCAACUUAAGUUCAGCGUCCCAGAGUCGUUUUUAUUCAAAGAACCCAUUGCCGAUUUUAUUGAGUGACGAUGGAAGUUAUUGACCCAAUGCCGAUUUUAUUGGCGAUUGCGUGAUGACAAAUCAGAACAAUGUUCCAGCACAUUUUUAAAAACCUGUAAGAUAUGAAGAGAAUUUUCUGGCCCUAAAACAACGCAAUAUCUACAUGUAAAUGGGGAUAAAUUUUCAUCUAAAGCAGACAUACAAGGUGUAAUAUACAGCCUGCCUUUUUCAUAGUGAAUACAUUGAAGAACAGACACCAUGACCCCAAGCUUGCUUCAAAAUAGGCUCCACCCCUGCCUUAACAUGAGAAGUUUUCAAAUCGUUUGACCAUUAUCGAAGGGGCUGAUGAAAUUUCUUAAGUGCUCAAGAAGCAAUGCAGUCACUGUCGGGGAAACGAAGCCAGAAUUGUGUAAAAAUUUGAAAAAUAAAUGCAGGAUUAAUGCUUACAA